This 253-nucleotide ribosomal RNA is filed under the name uncultured bacterium. RNAcentral describes it as "partial 16S ribosomal RNA". It matches the Rfam family "Bacterial small subunit ribosomal RNA", at positions 524 to 776 of the family's 1533-position model. The record is from RNAcentral.
UACAGAGGUGCCAAGCGUUAGGCGGAAUCACUGGGCUUAAAGCGCGUGUAGGUGGAUGGGUAAGUAUCUUGUGAAAUCCCACGGCUCAACCGUGGAACUGCUGGAUAUACUGCUUGUCUUGAGGCACUUAGGGGCAGCUGGAACAAAUGGUGGAGCGGUGAAAUGCGUAGAUAUCGUUUGGAACGCCAAUGGUGAAAACAACUUGCUGGGGGUGUGCUGACGCUGAGACACGAAAGCCAGGGGAGCAAACGGG